AGAUGAGUUCUCCCUGAGACUUUAGGUCUCCUGAAGGAACGUUGAAGACGACGACGUUGAUAGGCCGGGUGUGUAAGCGCAGCGAUGCGUUGAGCUAACCGGUACUAAUGAACCGUGAGGCUUAACCUU
This 129-nucleotide ribosomal RNA is filed under the name Salmonella enterica. RNAcentral's name for it is "partial 23S ribosomal RNA". It matches the Rfam family "Bacterial large subunit ribosomal RNA", at positions 2802 to 2925 of the family's 2925-position model. Lineage: Bacteria; Pseudomonadati; Pseudomonadota; Gammaproteobacteria; Enterobacterales; Enterobacteriaceae. RNAcentral also lists the same sequence under 2 other names. The record is from RNAcentral.